Molecule: ribosomal RNA, 420 nt
Filed under: uncultured bacterium
Lineage: Bacteria
Description: partial 16S ribosomal RNA
Rfam family: Bacterial small subunit ribosomal RNA
Source: RNAcentral
AAUUUUCGGCAAUGGGGGCAACGCUGACCGAGCGACGCCGCGUGAGUGAAGUUGGNCUNNGGAUUNUNAAGCCCUUUUGUAAGNNNNNAAACGUACCAGUCGGGAAUCACUGGUUCCUGACGGUACCUUACUAGAAAGCCACGGCUAACUACGUGCCAGCAGCCGCGGUAAUACGUAGGUGGCAAGCGUUAUCCGGAAUUAUUGGGCGUAAAGGGAGCGCAGGCGGCUUAUUAAGUCUGAGGUUAAAGUUCGGGGCUCAACCCCGUGAUACCUUAGAAACUGGUAGGCUAGAGUGCAGGAGAGGUGAGUGGAAUUCCAUGUGUAGCGGUAAAAUGCGUAGAUAUAUGGAGGAACACCAGUGGCGAAGGCGGCUCACUGGCCUGUAACUGACGCUGAGGCUCGAAAGCGUGGGGAGCAAAU